AUGAGCCACAUUCUCUCCUUGCUGCACGCCAGCCAUGGUCAGUGCUGGCAUGGAGGACUUGUAGCCAAGGUUUCCACCAAAGCUUCUUUCUUGGUUUUGUGGCUAUUUAGAUAUCCUACCGCUUGGCGUUGUGAAGGCCAACAGCCGUUUUCAAGCAUAAUAUCAGCUUCCAGAGAUGAUGUCCGUAUUAGCCUCUUCCAAAAUGGCUAGUUAUCUUCAAAAGGUACGUGCUAGUAACUAUUCACAUGCUGAAACAGAGAGACAGCUUGGUGGUGCCCGACGUGCUGCCCUGUGGGGCAUGGGGAGCCACCGGCCUCCCGGCA
RNAcentral lists this long non-coding RNA (323 nucleotides) under Anas platyrhynchos platyrhynchos (common mallard). Its description in RNAcentral is "lncRNA (ENSAPLG00000017991.1)". The record is from RNAcentral. Lineage: Eukaryota; Metazoa; Chordata; Aves; Anseriformes; Anatidae.